CAGUCGCCACGGGAAUACGGAGGGAGCUAGCGUUGUUCGGAAUUACUGGGCGUAAAGCGCGCGUAGGCGGUUACUCAAGUCAGAGGUGAAAGCCCGGGGCUCAACCCCGGAACUGCCUUUGAAACUAGGUGACUAGAAUCUUGGAGAGGUCAGUGGAAUUCCGAGUGUAGAGGUGAAAUUCGUAGAUAUUCGGAAGAACACCAGUGGCGAAGGCGACUGACUGGACAAGUAUUGACGCUGAGGUGCGAAAGCGUGGGGAGCAAACAGGAUUAGAUACCCCCGUAGUCCCUGUCUCUUAUAA
This 301-nucleotide ribosomal RNA is filed under the name uncultured bacterium. RNAcentral describes it as "partial 16S ribosomal RNA". It matches the Rfam family "Bacterial small subunit ribosomal RNA", at positions 509 to 809 of the family's 1533-position model. The record is from RNAcentral.